AUGAACCACAAAAUCAAGUUUUACUUCAAUCCAUCCACCUGGCUAACUACAAGGAAAAAUGAUAUUUAUUGGGCCACAACAAAAUCCAAAAGUAAUCUAUCCACCAAAUUAAAAAGGAAAAGUCAACAUUAUUCUACCAAGCAAAGAAGAAAAAAGCUAAAUCAUUUUACUGUCAUAAAGUUGGAUUUGUUGGUGUUUCUUCUUUUACACCUCCUACCCCCUGAAACCUCUGGAAUAAAAAAAACACCUCUCAACAAACAAAUGGAUUAUGUUGAGCCCGACAAUGAUGACUCAACAUGCAUGGGCACUGGAGCAAUAUGA
This 321-nucleotide ribosomal RNA is filed under the name Triticum aestivum (bread wheat). RNAcentral's name for it is "partial small subunit ribosomal RNA". The record is from RNAcentral. Lineage: Eukaryota; Viridiplantae; Streptophyta; Magnoliopsida; Poales; Poaceae.